Molecule: long non-coding RNA, 1228 nt
Organism: Mauremys reevesii (Reeves's turtle)
Lineage: Eukaryota; Metazoa; Chordata; Testudines; Geoemydidae
Exons: 5
Source: RefSeq, a predicted model, not a curated record
GACUUCAGUUGAGUGAGCAGCAGGAGCAGAAGGGCUGAUCUAAACAGAGAUCCUGUCUGCAUGCAAAUGGAACUGCUUGAGGCUGGUCUUCAAAUGGAAAGAGAGCAAGAAUACUGUUAUAUUGGAACCUGCGAAAGCCAUAUUCUUUAUUGUGAGAGGGCAGGGGCUCUACAACCACAGGACUGGGAACUGCCUCCCUGCCUUGCAGCCUCUCACGGCACUGUCCGUCUAACUGGGAAGAAUGGAAUGGGACUCCUCCGCAGAGCCCUUUGGCUUCAUUAAUCAACCUUUACUAUAAUAGAAAGAUCGCUGUUGAGACAUGCAAAGCACUCCUGGGUCCUAGGGUGAGUUCUGACCAAGCAACAAAGCUCUGAAGGAUAAUAAAUUCAAUCCGAUAUGGGCAAAUAAAUCUUUUUUCCAGCUGUCCAAGAAAGACAGACAAUCCCUGUGGGAGAUUCCAUACUCAGAAGAAUCAAAAGAACAAUCUGCAAGGGACAGGUGAACAAGAAGUUGGUGUGCUACCAACCAGGAGCCAAGACACAGAUGUCAUCUAAGAUUGGACAGUAGAUGGCUUCAGAGAACUCGGAAGUGUGCUGAAGAAGAAGUGAGUCCAAGCGAUAUUCUCUGAGAUCCUUCCUGUCCCACAAGCAAAGGAAGACAGAAGGCAGAAGAUUCCAGAAGUGAAUCACUGGUGAAAAGAAAAAUAUUCCUUUCUGGAAAAAAAAGAAUAUUAAUGGUGUGUCGGAGGAACAAAUGCAAUGGAGAUUGUCAAGGAGUAACAGAUGAAACCAAAGGAAAAACAGAAACAGAAUGACAGGCUGGAAACAAAGGCGAGCAAUAUUUCUGGUAAAUAGCACGUAGCAAGAAGUGGAUGACGAUGUGGUCAUAAGCAGAAGAGGAAACAUCCAGGCAGUCACACUUGUUGGCAGUCUUCACAAUAGUAAGUCAUGAGCUACUAUGGACCCAUUCAGAAGACCAGGCAAUGCUGAGUGGGAAUGUAUUAGCUGGCCAACUGCUUUCUUCCUAGACAGAUCCCAAAGAGCCCUGCUGAACAGCUGUUCCAUUUCCAUGAAUCCUCCCACCUGUGGGGUCCCAUAGGGCCUAAUCUUGUUCUCCCCAUUUACUCAACAUACUCAGUAAUAUCAGUGUUUUCCGCCUAGCAUCACAAACCAAGAAGCGAGUGUACACUACUCCAGUGCUUAAUGCUCUGCAAGGCAUUCCCAUAUUC